GGCCCCUUAGCUCAGUUGGUUAGAGCAGGCGACUCAUAAUCGCUUGGUCGCUGGUUCAAGCCCAGCAGGGGCCA
RNAcentral lists this transfer RNA (74 nucleotides) under Serratia symbiotica str. 'Cinara cedri'. RNAcentral's name for it is "tRNA-Ile2 (CAT) (tRNA-Ile2-CAT-1-1)". It matches the Rfam family "tRNA". Rfam says of the family: Transfer RNA (tRNA) molecules are approximately 80 nucleotides in length. Their secondary structure includes four short double-helical elements and three loops (D, anti-codon, and T loops). Further hydrogen bonds mediate the characteristic L-shaped molecular structure. tRNAs have two regions of fundamental functional importance: the anti-codon, which is responsible for specific mRNA codon recognition, and the 3' end, to which the tRNAs corresponding amino acid is attached (by aminoacyl-tRNA synthetases). tRNAs cope with the degeneracy of the genetic code in two manners: having more than one tRNA (with a specific anti-codon) for a particular amino acid; and 'wobble' base-pairing, i.e. permitting non-standard base-pairing at the 3rd anti-codon position. Lineage: Bacteria; Pseudomonadati; Pseudomonadota; Gammaproteobacteria; Enterobacterales; Yersiniaceae. The record is from RNAcentral.